CUGAUCAUCAGUGAGCCAAGCCUGGAAGCCUGAGCCAUCACCAGCUGGGUGGUAGCCAGCUGUGGCUCAGGGCCACUCUAGAAACACUUGCCUUGGGCUGCAGCUGCCCUGGGCUACUACCCUGAUCCCUAGGAAACGGGGCAUGGGGCAUUUUCCUGAACAGAGCCCUUGCCAAUGCCCAGCAAGAAACCAGUGUGGCACUGGGAUUGGAAAGCCUGGAGUGUGAAUAUGGACUCUGAUGUGCCAACUUACAGAAGAAGCAUAGGCAAGAUUCUUAGUCUCUACAUCAAGCUGAGUCCUUGAAGUGGUCGGAGGGACAAAACAGAAUUCCUGGAGACAGUGUCCUAAGGGAGUGCCAGAGGCACUCAUUUGUUUGACAACUAAUUUUGGAGGCAGGUGCUCUUCCUUGUCUUAGGAUCUUCCAGUCAACAAGGCUGAAAAUCUCCCUGCCUCCUGGAGCUUGCUUCUGUGGAAGAAGGCAGUCAGCAAACACAUGAACAAAGACAAGUUCAGGG
This 515-nucleotide long non-coding RNA is filed under the name Homo sapiens (human). RNAcentral's name for it is "non-protein coding lnc-CD58-2:3". Lineage: Eukaryota; Metazoa; Chordata; Mammalia; Primates; Hominidae. The record is from RNAcentral.